UACGAAGGGGGCUAGCGUUGCUCGGAAUGACUGGGCGUAAAGGGCGCGUAGGCGGAUGGCACAGUCAGAUGUGAAAUUCCUGGGCUUAACCUGGGGGCUGCAUUUGAUACGUGUGAUCUAGAGUGAGGAAGAGGGUUGUGGAAUUCCCAGUGUAGAGGUGAAAUUCGUAGAUAUUGGGAAGAACACCAGUGGCGAAGGCGGCUCACUGGACCGACACUGACGCUGAGGCGCGAAAGCGUGGGGAGCAAACAGG
This 253-nucleotide ribosomal RNA is filed under the name uncultured bacterium. Its description in RNAcentral is "partial 16S ribosomal RNA". It matches the Rfam family "Bacterial small subunit ribosomal RNA", at positions 524 to 776 of the family's 1533-position model. The record is from RNAcentral.